AUGCCACAUGCAAAUGGUCCCUGCCCCUGCAGCGUCAUGGUGCCUGCCUGCCUCCCUUCCUUCCUUCCUCCCUCCUUCCUUCCUUCCUCCCUCCUUUCCUCUCUCCCUCCUUCCCUUCUUUCCUUCCUUCCUCUCCCUUCCUUCCUCCCCUUCCUUCCUCCCUCCUUCCCUCUCUCCCUCCUUCCCUUCCUACCUUCCUUCCUUCCUCCCCCUCCCUUCCUCCCUCCUUUCCUCUCUCCCUCCUUCCCUUCCUUCCUUCCUCCCUUCCUUCCUCCUUCCUUCCUCCUUCCUUCCUUCCUCCCUUCCUUUCUUCCUCCCCUUUCCUUCCUCCCUCCUUCCCUUCCUUCCUUCCUUCCUUCCUCCCCCUCCCUUCCCCCCUCCUUUCCUCUCUCCCUCCUUCCCUUCCUGCCUUCCUUCCUCUCCCUUCCUUCCUCCCCUUCCUUCCUCCCUCCUUCCCUCUCUCCCUCCUUCCCUUCCUACCUUCCUUCCUUCCUCCCCCUCCCUUCCUCCCUCCUUUCCUCUCUCCCUCCUUCCCUUCCUUCCUUCCUCUCCCUUCCUUCCUCCCUCCCUCCUUUCCUCUCUCCCUCCUUCCUUCCUUCCUCCCCUUUCCUUCCUCCCUCCUUCCCUUCCUGCCUUCCUUCCUCCUUCCUUCCUUCCUCCCCCUCCCUUCCUCCCUCCUUCCUUCCUUCCUCCCCUCCUUCCCUUCCUGCCUUCCUUCCUCCCCCUCCUUCCUUCCUCCCUCCCUCCUUUCCUCCCUUCCUUUCUUCUGCCCCUUUCCUUCCUCCCUCCUUCCUUCCUUCCUUCCUUCCUUCCUCCCUCCUUCCUUCCUUCCUUCCUUCCUCCCUUCCUUCCUUCCUUCCUUCCUCUCCCUUCCUUCCUCCCCUUUCCUUCCUCCCUCCUUCCCUCUCUCCCUCCUUCCUUCCUUCCUCCCUCCUUUCCUCUCUCCCUCCUUCCUCCCUCCUUUCCUCUCUCCCUCCUUCCUUCCUUCCUCCCUCCUUCCUCCCUCCUUUCCUCUCUCCCUCCUUCCCUUCCUUCCUUCCUCUCCCUUCCUUCCUCCCUCCCUCCUUUCCUCCCUUCCUUUCUUCUGCCCCUUUCCUUCCUUCCUUCCUUCCUUCCUUCCUUCCUUCCUUCCUCCCUCCCUCCUUUCCUCCCUUCCUUCCUCCCCCUCCCUUCCCCCCUCCUUUCCUCUCUCCCUCCUUCCUUCCUUCCUUCCUUCCUCCCUCCUUCCUUCCUUCCUCCCCCUCCCUUCCUCCCUCCCUCCUUUCCUCCCUUCCUUUCUUCUGCCCCUUUCCUUCCUCCCUCCUUCCCUUCCUGCCUUCCUUCCUCCCCCUCCCUUCCUCCCUCCUUCCUCCCUCCUUCCCUCUCUCCUUCCUUCCUUCUUCCUUCCUUCCUUCCUUCCUUCCAUUCAUUCUCCCUUCCUUAUUUUCUGUCUCUUUCUCAGCUACUUACUCCACUACUAAUGGGGUGAGUGCUCAGACCUGGACCGAUUACGAUCCACAGUUUGAGCCUGCCCUCCCCCGUGGACCUCCCACCUAG
This 1536-nucleotide long non-coding RNA is filed under the name Felis catus (domestic cat). RNAcentral's name for it is "lncRNA (ENSFCAG00000052265.1)". The record is from RNAcentral. Lineage: Eukaryota; Metazoa; Chordata; Mammalia; Carnivora; Felidae.